AUUGAACGCUGGCGGCAGGCCUAACACAUGCAAGUCGAACGGUAACAGGAAGCAGCUUGCUGCUUUGCUGACGAGUGGCGGACGGGUGAGUAAUGUCUGGGAAACUGCCCGAUGGAGGGGGAUAACUACUGGAAACGGUAGCUAAUACCGCAUAACGUCGCAAGACCAAAGAGGGGGACCUUAGGGCCUCUUGCCAUCGGAUGUGCCCAGAUGGGAUUAGCUAGUAGGUGGGGUAACGGCUCACCUAGGCGACGAUCCCUAGCUGGUCUGAGAGGAUGACCAGCCACACUGGAACUGAGACACGGUCCAGACUCCUACGGGAGGCAGCAGUGGGGAAUAUUGCACAAUGGGCGAAAGCCUGAUGCAGCCAUGCCGCGUGUAUGAAGAAGGCCUUCGGGUUGUAAAGUACUUUCAGCGGGGAGGAAGGGAGUAAAGUUAAUACCUUGGCUCAUUGACGUUACCCGCAGAAGAAGCACCGGCUAACUCCGUG
RNAcentral lists this ribosomal RNA (490 nucleotides) under uncultured bacterium. RNAcentral describes it as "partial 16S ribosomal RNA". It matches the Rfam family "Bacterial small subunit ribosomal RNA", at positions 30 to 507 of the family's 1533-position model. The record is from RNAcentral.